GACCAUUGGAUAUAACUAUCGUCAGUCAGUCUCUCCAUAAUUAUUCAUACUCUUUCUAAUAUUGGACUUGAUUCUAUAUCAGAGUGUGAUCAUCUGGACAAGAAGAUGCCCGACAAUGGGAUAUUGUGACAAUCUAUUAAUUGAAGAUUUUGAAAAAAAAAUUAUAGAAUUGUUGGAAAUUAUUAGAAUAUUUAUGAGAUAAGUAAUGCUACAUAUUUUCUAAAUUUUUGGCAAAUUAUAAAUUUA
This 246-nucleotide long non-coding RNA is filed under the name Elaeis guineensis (African oil palm). RNAcentral describes it as "long non-coding RNA (EGUI_LNC008205)". The record is from RNAcentral. Lineage: Eukaryota; Viridiplantae; Streptophyta; Magnoliopsida; Arecales; Arecaceae.